UCCCUGGUGGUCCAGUGGUUAAGAAUUCGCCUUCCAAUGCAGAAGACCCAGGUUUGAUUCCUGGUCAGGGAA
RNAcentral lists this transfer RNA (72 nucleotides) under Bos taurus (domestic cattle). It matches the Rfam family "tRNA". Rfam says of the family: Transfer RNA (tRNA) molecules are approximately 80 nucleotides in length. The record is from Rfam by way of RNAcentral. Lineage: Eukaryota; Metazoa; Chordata; Mammalia; Artiodactyla; Bovidae. RNAcentral also lists the same sequence under 4 other names.